AACGAACGCUGGCGGCAUGCCUAACACAUGCAAGUCGAACGAGACCUUCGGGUCUAGUGGCGCACGGGUGCGUAACGCGUGGGAACCUGCCCUUAGGUUCGGAAUAACUCCCCGACAGGGGUGCUAAUACCGGAUAAUGUCUUCGGACCAAAGAUUUAUCGCCUUUGGAUGGGCCCGCGUUGGAUUAGCUGGUUGGUAGGGUAAAAGCCUACCAAGGCGACGAUCCAUAGCUGGUCUGAGAGGAUGAUCAGCCACACUGGGACUGAGACACGGCCCAGACUCCUACGGGAGGCAGCAGUGGGGAAUAUUGGACAAUGGGCGAAAGCCUGAUCCAGCAAUGCCGCGUGAGUGAUGAAGGCCUUAGGGUUGUAAAGCUCUUUUACCCGGGAUGAUAAUGACAGUACCGGGAGAAUAAGCUCCGGCUAACUCCGUG
Molecule: ribosomal RNA, 433 nt
Filed under: uncultured bacterium
Lineage: Bacteria
Description: partial 16S ribosomal RNA
Rfam family: Bacterial small subunit ribosomal RNA
Source: RNAcentral